This is a long non-coding RNA of Anguilla rostrata (American eel), 6097 nucleotides long. RefSeq lists it as uncharacterized. The record is from RefSeq and is a predicted model, not a curated record. NCBI's taxonomy places the organism in Eukaryota, Metazoa, Chordata, Actinopteri, Anguilliformes, Anguillidae. The transcript is spliced from 2 exons.
CCCAGAGGAAGAGGGAAGCCUGGCCAAUGGGAGACGCCGAGGGACGGAACAAUAAGGGCCCUCUCUCUGGCCCGGCCUUCUGUGCGCCGCUGCAAAUUUAAUCUGAGAGCCAGCAUUCCAGCCACAAAGGGGAGAGGGAGCCGGUGCAGGAUUCCCCUAUGCUGUGCUAAGAUGGAGCCCACUGCGCUGUGGUAUGCUGUGCUGGGCUCAGCUAGGACUGAAGUGCAGCUCCUGUGACCUUGAAUGACACACAGUUCAGAGGAAGAGUGUGUGAGUCCUCUCCUGAGAGCGCUGCAUUGUAACAAAAGCUUUACUCGCACAAGUAACACAACUUUUAUUCAUCUGAAACCAAACAGAGGCCAGUCUGUACAAUCCUAUAGCCAUCUUCGCCAUUUAUGCCGGGCUAGAUUUUAUUGUGAUGUAAAUCAGUCACCCAAACAUUCCGCAAUCAUUGACUGGCAAUGGCCUCCGAAUUCCUUUUCCCGUUGCCGUGGUUUCACUAUAGCCCCACUCUCCGGCGACUACAAAACCCCGAAACGUAGCCCCUUUUGUGUUCCCUUCAGGCCUUUCACACAGACUAAGUGACAGGAACAUGAGGGAAAACAUCUUUGGCCAAAAAAAGUCUAAUAGUUAAAGAACACGAUGAUGAGAAGCAGUAUCACAAUGUCGGUUUCAUGUCCGGAGGUCAGGCCAAUAAUAAGCGCAUUUGUUCAGUUAUAAGUGCGCAUUGAAAAAGGCAUUGCUUAAGGAUCAACUGAGCUCGUCCUCCAGCAGGAGAAGCGAGGAGGUUAGGGGGUACGCAGACUGCGUCGGCCGGUCUCCGGUGACGCACAGCGGGUAUGUGGAAUGUUCCGGAGCCGGGACUACCCCUGACGCUCGCUCUGGGUGACGCGUAUCCACCUGACAGGACUCCUACACGGCCGUAAACUCUCUUCGUAAUGGUAUUAAGUGGGCGAGCUGUGCGGGUUCCUGCACUCGAAAAAUGCCGCGAAAUACAAAGGGUAAAUUCCCAGUCACGAUAGGAAAAGCAGAAAAUAGCUCUGAAUCCCCUUGGUUUACAGGCCGAGAUUGUGCCACCAUCAGUCUGCUUUCUUUCGUGCAAACAGAUGUAAUCGCCGCUAUCGCAAGCCAAGGCGUGAUGUCUGAGAAUGCUGUUGAAAUUGGCUGUUUGCAGCGGCGUACUCUGUUGGUGAAAUAUAUAAGGUCUUAUUUUUAUGAAACAUUCGAAAUUUGGCAGUCCCACUUGACGCAGCCCCUACCACGAGAACAGUGAUGCAAUGGAAAAAGAACUGAAGCCAAAGUUCAAUUUCACGCAGCUGAUAGCCUUCCCUACAGCACGCACUGAAGAUCAGAUACAGACUGCGAACCAGAAAAAAUGUUUUGAUCGGGAGAGGAAUAAAAUAUUUUGAUGGGGAGAGGAAUAUUUCAAAAUGGCAUUUCAAUGGCAAAUCAUUAGAUGAGCAAUUCCUGUUAAAAGUGAAAUGAAAUAAAAAAGUUAAUAUAAGGUUUAAGCUGCUGCAUUCACCCUCGCUAUAAUGGCAGUAAUAUGAGACAUGGAUCCUGAUAAUUGAACAGGUGUGGUAUAUAAAUACACACACAGGCACACACACACACAGGCGCACACAAACAUACACACGCAAACACGCGCACACAAAACACACACUCUCUGUCUCUGUCUCACACACAAUAAAACCUUUAAACCAAUGCCCUCCUUGAUGAUUUUUCAUCAUUUGUGUCAAAUAACAGUAACACGAUAAUAGUAAUAAUAAUAAUAAUAAUAAUAAUAAUAAUAAUAAUAAAUAAACACAUACAUAAAUUAAUAACAUUCUGUAAUUGAACUGUAACAGUAUUUAGAUAGUCAGGUAUUUAUUUUCACUACAGAAUCGAACAGAUACACCCAUUGAUUAAUUUAACAGUACAAACAGCCUGCCUACAGCCACCAGCAUUUCUCUGUAAAACAAAACAGAGAAAACAAUGAAACUACAACCACAGACUUCCCAAAACUGAGUCAAUUCCAGCAAAUGGAGAAGUUAGGCCAAAUUCAACAUGUACAAACUUGAUGCUCCUAUUCCGUCUCUACUGUUGAUGUGUGUGUGCGUGCCAGUAUGCACGGGUGCUUGUAUGUGUGUGUGUGUGUGUGUGUGUGUGUGUUGUGCGUGUGUGUGUGUUUCCUAGAAUGAUUCUUCCUUAUGACUACAUAUAUUUAAUAAAAAUGAAUACAUUCAUCAAAUAUUAGAACUUAUUUGUCUUAACCACAAACAUAAACGUGAUACAGAAGUGUACUUUAUACAAUAUGCAUAAUAUAAUCGUGUCUGUGGCCAAGAAAAUUACAGUCCACUGAAGAUACUUUAAUUUAUUAAAUCAUUCAUCAAGAUCUUAGUGGUAAAGAAAGAAGACAGAAUGAUAAAAUAUAUACAAACAGUCAAAUACAAAGCUAUUUUUACUUUUGUUUAUGUUCCAUUGUGUGAAAAGCCAAGCUGGUUUGCGCAAUCUCAGCUUUCACUAUGACAGUGUCCUCUGCCAAACAGCUUUACAAUCCUCCUUCCAAAAAGACACUCCCUUUCGAAUAAUUCUGGAUCAUGUUUUUCGGUAAAUCACAGCGGUGUGUCAUCUUGCCAUUCAGCAAACACAUUAGAUAAAGUCUAAGUGGACAAAACUAUCUGAGAGUACACUGCCGCCCUCUGGUGGACAAUAUUAUAUGCAUUUCAUAAUGCGGUAUAGUUCCAAUUUUUCAGUGUUCAUGUCUUUCUAAAUUGUUUCUGCGGAUACUGAAUUUGUCUUCCGCAGUCUACCCCUGGUAUGUUUUGUAUUUACAAACUUUUCACAUACUGUAGAGACACUGAAUUCCGUGGAGUAUUUAAUAACUCACUAAACAUUUUCACAUAUUCAAAGGUCACUGCGGCCACAGAUUGUUAACAACAGUCUUCAUCUUUCACUCCCUUUGUUAUAAUUGUGCACCAUUAUGAACUCUGGCUUUCAGACAAUCUCGUAAAUAUGUCUUUAUGCUCAAUGGGAGUGUGAGGGAGUGGUUAUGGACUCUGAAGAUCAAAUUUCAACUCUCGGGUGGGGCGCAUUGAAUUACUGAAUUGCUUGGGUAAACAUAACAUGAAUUUGACUAUGGCAUAUGCAUUUUCCUGUAUCAGUGAUCCUGCUGUAGAAUCAAAUAAACCGGAGGGUCUGAUUAUCACAUAAACAUCGGUAUAUCUCAGCGGGUUUUCGUAUCUAGUCUACAUGGGAAUAUUUUUUUCUAAAUUUCCUUGAAGGCUACCACAAGUCACAUUUCCUGUGGAAUUACCUAUGCUGAUAGCACCCUCUAUUGACAGGUUUAUGUUUAACACACCCAGGCUUUGGUGGGUUUUUUCCAUUGGGAAAUGAUCUGGGAAACCCUAAAUACCAAAGCGAUCUUGGUCCUUUUAAAAGGAUAUUGUGACACUCGUAGACGCUGUAUUGAAAUAUUAUGCAAGACCAUGAUUCUUUUAGUUUUACCAAAAUUGUCAUACAUCUGAGAAUAUAAUUUCCAAAUUUAGCGAAAUUAAAAAUAAACUACAAAUGAUAGGCUAGAUAGGCCUACCAGUUUGUCUCCACCAUGUGACCUGCAGGGAUUUAAACUUGUAUUUCAAUGGAUAUCCUCCAGGGGUCUCUAGUCAAGUGUCCAAUUGAACAAUUGAGUUUCUAAAUAAGUCACUCAUAAAAACACUUAGUUGUUCUAAUAUGGGGAGAGUCCAGCGACGAUGGAUGGAAGUUCAAAUGCAACAAAAAGCAUCGUCUUUGUGCCAGUGCUGCUCAUUCCUGGUCACGGAGAGCUGCAGGGUCUGCUGGCUUUUGCUGUCACUCAGAAUUUGAGUAGCACAGCAAUUUAUUAAUUAAAACAGUUGAUUACAGUCAACUCACCUGGUUUCUUGGGUCAGAACUGGUUGGUGAUCUUAAGGGAAAAAAAAAAAAACAGAAACCUGCAGUCUCUGUGGCUCUCCUGGAUUGAGCAUCACUGGAAAAAGAAAAAUGCAUCUAUACACAGCAGGGGUGUCCAAUCUCAUCCUAAAAGGGCUGGUUGUAGCUGAAGAUUUUUGUUUUAGCCUAGCACUAAGAUGCCAGAUUCUACUUAAAGCCUUGAUUGAAGACCAUGAUUAAUGAAUUAGUUGAAUUGUUCUUUAUUUUUUUGAACUUUUUUUAGUGCAGGUUAAAUGUUAUAUAACUGCUCUCGUUUUUAAUGUGGGCAUUUCCCACUGCUUCUGAUGAAACCUAUCAUGCCUCUGUACAGCCUUUGAAAAUACCGUUGCUUGUAAACUGUGACUCAUAAUCUGUGCUUAUUAGUGGCAAUUACUUUAUCAACUUAAUGAAGCAGUGGAAAUAGGAUAAUUUUUGAGAAGUGGCUUGAUAAAGGGGCUAUCAUGACCUCUAGCUGAGGACUGAAGUACAAUGCGAGAAAACAAAGGGAGAUAAACUGGUUUCCCAGUAUAUGAAGGACUUUUACCUGUUCACUUGAAUCUCCCUUUGGUGUGAUCUUCCAGACUUGAGAUGCUCUAUUAGCAAAAUUUACUGUAUUGCCCAUUAUACAUUACUACUGACUAUUUGUAAAAUUGUUCAUUUCAGUCAGUGGUAUCAGGCUACAUAUGGAUGCCUUGUUCUCACUGACUGCAUAGUAGACAAAUCCACACCGUUAUCAAUGAUGUAUGGAUUGGAGUACAUACUGGAGUGCUUUUACAGAAGAGAGGACGAAUGUAAACCAUGAAAAAUGCAGUGUUUUCCCCCAAAAAACUUUUUUUCAGGCCUGGUGGUAGGGCUGCCAGACUUAGAACCGGCCACCAUACAAAUGCACACGUUGGUCUUCUCUGUUUACCUCAAUGGUCUUGAUGAAUGAUUUAAUAAAUUAAUGUAUCUUUAGUGGACUGUAAUUUUCUUGGCCACCGACAGGAUUAUAUUAUGCGUAUUAUAUAAAGUACACUUUUAUUAUUACUGUAUCACGUUUAUGUUUGUGGUUAAGACAAAUAAGUUUUAAUAUUUCAAAAACAUGUAUUCAUAUUUAUUAAAUAUAUGUAGUCAUAAGGAAGAAUCAUGCUAGGACACACACACACACAAAGUUAGAUGACCUGUGGGGAGGGGGGGAAUCAAGCUUGAAGCUUGAAUGUGAAUGUGGGGAAUUUUUGUGCAAAACAGAUUCAUCACAGCGCUGUUAGCCAGCGUUCACUAGCUAGCCGAGAGGCAGUAUCCAUGCAACACUAGCUAGCCGAGAGGCAGUAUCCAUGCAACACUAGCUAGCCGAGAGGCAGUAUCCAUGCAACACUAGCUAGCCGAGAGGCAGUAUCCAUGCAACACUAGCUAGCCGAGCGGCAGUAUCCAUGCAACACUAGCUAGCUAGCUGAUUAUUUACAGUUGAUGCAAUAGCAUUAUGUAUGUACUCUUUCGUGGCCUCAGGUUUCCCAGGCAAAGACACAGAAGCAGACUCACGAAUCACAACAGCGCCCCGCAGAGGCUCCCGAGCGCAAAUGACUAUUUAUUUCCGAACUAAUAGGUACAUUACCGUUGCCACAGAAAAUUAUUUGCUGGCCUGGCAACCUGCCAGGUCUGUACAAUUAUAAAUGAAACAUUGAUGCAAAGGAAUGCAAAAUGUGAGAUCUUUCUGACAUUGACACAUAUCAGCUGUGUAAUAUAUGGUGGUUUUCCACGUCAUAAAAAGGUUGACCACUGAAAUUUAAAAUUAUUUACGGCUCUAGGACAAAAAUCUACUUUUUUUUUGCAGUCAAAAAUAAACGAAGCCAAAUUCAUACCUCUUAGAACACUUUAUUUGGAUGACACGUUCACGUCAAAUGGACCCACAACAGAUGCAGACCAAUUCUACAAGUCCGGCUAUUCCUGCCAAAAUAAUCAUAAACAACCCAGGAAGCAAACGAGAAUAUUUCAUGGAUCCGGGUGGUUCUCUUUGUGUCUGUAACCCGAUCAAAUUUCCCUCACAUAUUAAUGAACAUUUGUGUGAUGAGAUGGCUCUUAAAUCACAGGAGAUAUCACGUCCGUGUUGGCAGUGCCCUCUUCAACUGCAUUUUUAUGAUGAGCAUGAUAUUAAACAUCUUUCAAAAAAAAAAAAAAAGCUACAAACCCAAAA